AGUGAACGCUGGCGGUAGGCCUAACACAUGCAAGUCGAACGGCAGCACAGAGGAGCUUGCUCCUUGGGUGGCGAGUGGCGGACGGGUGAGGAAUACAUCGGAAUCUACUCUGUCGUGGGGGAUAACGUAGGGAAACUUACGCUAAUACCGCAUACGACCUACGGGUGAAAGCAGGGGACCUUCGGGCUUUGCGCGAUUGAAUGAGCCGAUGUCGGAUUAGCUAGUUGGCGGGGUAAAGGCCCACCAAGGCGACGAUCCGUAGCUGGCCUGAGAGGAUGAUCAGCCACACUGGAACUGAGACACGGUCCAGACUCCUACGGGAGGCAGCAGUGGGGAAUAUUGGGCAAUGGGCGCAAGCCUGAUCCAGCCAUACCGCGUGGGUGAAGAAGGCCUUCGGGUUGUAAAGCCCUUUUGUUGGGAAAGAAAUCCAGCUGGCUAAUACCCGGUUGGGAUGACGGUACCCAAAGAAUAAGCACCGGCUAACUUCGUGCCAGCAGCCGCAGUAA
RNAcentral lists this ribosomal RNA (506 nucleotides) under uncultured bacterium. RNAcentral's name for it is "partial 16S ribosomal RNA". It matches the Rfam family "Bacterial small subunit ribosomal RNA", at positions 29 to 523 of the family's 1533-position model. The record is from RNAcentral.